RNAcentral lists this non-coding RNA (89 nucleotides) under Pseudomonas sp. GV047. Lineage: Bacteria; Pseudomonadati; Pseudomonadota; Gammaproteobacteria; Pseudomonadales; Pseudomonadaceae. The record is from RNAcentral.
UGUGGGAGGGGGCUUGCCCCCGAUAGCAGUGUGUCAGUCACUUAUGUGUCCACUGACCCUCCGCCAUCGGGGGCAAGCCCCCUCCCACA